This 1279-nucleotide ribosomal RNA is filed under the name Rhinocladiella fasciculata. RNAcentral's name for it is "LSU rRNA". It matches the Rfam family "Eukaryotic large subunit ribosomal RNA", at positions 69 to 1419 of the family's 3401-position model. Lineage: Eukaryota; Fungi; Ascomycota; Eurotiomycetes; Chaetothyriales; Herpotrichiellaceae. The record is from RNAcentral.
CAGGGAUUGCCUCAGUAACGGCGAGUGAAGCGGCAACAGCUCAAAUUUGAAAUCUGGCCUCUUUGGGGUCCGAGUUGUAAUUUGGAGAGGAUGUUUCGGGUACCGCCUCGGUUUAAAUUUCUUGGAACAGAAUGUCAGAGAGGGUGAGAAUCCCGUCUUGGACCGGUGGUAGGGCCCAUGUGAAACUCCUUCGACGAGUCGAGUUGUUUGGGAAUGCAGCUCAAAAUGGGUGGUAAAUUUCAUCUAAAGCUAAAUAUUGGCCAGAGACCGAUAGCGCACAAGUAGAGUGAUCGAAAGAUGAAAAGCACUUUGAAAAGAGAGUUAAACAGUAUGUGAAAUUGUUGAAAGGGAAGCGCUUGCAACCAGACUUGCGCGCGGCGGUUCCCCCUUCCUUUUGGUUGGGCUAUUCUGCCGUGUCCAGGCCAACAUCGGUUCUGGGGGUCGGUUAAAGGCCUUGGGAAUGUAUCUACCCUUCGGGCGUAGACUUAUAGCCCUUGGUGUCAUGCGGCCUCCCGGGAUCGAGGAACGCGCUUCGGCUCGGAUGUUGGCGUAAUGGUUGUCAGCGACCCGUCUUGAAACACGGACCAAGGAGUCUAACAUCUAUGCGAGUGUUUGGGUGUCAAACCCGGAACGCGAAAUGAAAGUGAACGGAGGUAGGAAGCUUCGGCUGCACUAUCGACCGAUCCUGAUGUCUUCGGAUGGAUUUGAGUAAGAGCAUAGCUGUUGGGACCCGAAAGAUGGUGAACUAUGCCUGAAUAGGGUGAAGCCAGAGGAAACUCUGGUGGAGGCUCGCAGCGGUUCUGACGUGCAAAUCGAUCGUCAAAUUUGGGUAUAGGGGCGAAAGACUAAUCGAACCAUUACAUCAGUACGUUAGGAAUUUCCAACUACUCGGUGGUUAAGUGUACCUGUUAAAGUGGGUGCAAGUGCCGGAUUCUGGCGCGACACUGUCAAAUUGCGGGGACGUCCUAAAGCUCUGGAGACCGCUUCGCCCACGAAAGUAGGUGGGAGCACCGGGUUAAUGGCCUCGGGUAUGGUAAAACCGCCAGAGAUAAAACAAUGGAUAAUCCGCAGCCAAGUCCUAAGGGCAGUUAUAUGCCUAUGGAUGCAGUUCACAGACUAAAUGGCAGUGGGCUCGACACGUUAUUUCAACGUGUUCCGGGCUUAAGUUAUAGUCGGUCCCCCGGGGAGACCCGGGCGUACGCGCUAAAUUUGCGGCGAAGAAUUUCCUCUACUGAGGAUUGCCGUGAACCUGAACGGUACGGACGCUUCUUUAGGGGCG